This 27-nucleotide small RNA is filed under the name Bombyx mori (domestic silkworm). RNAcentral's name for it is "ovarian small RNA-29556". Lineage: Eukaryota; Metazoa; Arthropoda; Insecta; Lepidoptera; Bombycidae. The record is from RNAcentral.
UCUCAAAGAAAUAAGCAGUGCCUUUGU